Molecule: long non-coding RNA, 786 nt
Organism: Lotus japonicus
Lineage: Eukaryota; Viridiplantae; Streptophyta; Magnoliopsida; Fabales; Fabaceae
Exons: 2
Source: RefSeq, a predicted model, not a curated record
UACUAGUUUUAAAUCGAGGUGGUGAGAGUUGGGUUGGUGGGGUGGUAUUAAUUAAUUAUCCACUCCCACUAGGAAAUUGUACAAAGAAAAAAAAAAACAUUAAAAAAAUGUACUAAUAGCAUUAAUCUUAUACUACUAGUUGUUUUGUUUUGGGCAUUGAAGAAGAAAGAAAGUAGUAUCGGUGAAAUGUGUUUCCCCUCCUCUCCCUCGCGUCCUGUGUCUCUUCCAGUUCCAGUUAAUAUGGAUCUCCCAAUUAUUUCUCCCGAACAGGAAGCCAUCCUCAACAACUCCCCUUUUCGAGAACCGCCCACCGCCGCCAACCUCACCCUUUCCCCGCCGGAAACCCCCCAAGUAUCUUCCGACCCCCCGCCGCCUCAGGGAGCUUCAUUUGUGGAAGCUGCAUAGCUAAGUUGAAAAUAGUGUGAACAAUCUCUAUGCUUUUUGUUAAUGUAGCUAAGUUGAUUCUAUUUUCUAUCUAGUUCUUGUACCAAAACUUGAAUCAAGAUAACAACUCACUUUGUGAAUGUUGUUGGUUAUCUUUUUUAACUAUUUGCUAGGGCAAACUGUGUUUUCAAGCCUAAUCAAUUAGGUACAUAGUCUUUAAUCUCAGUGUAAUGUAUGCAAGUACCAUGAUUUGUAUAUGGUUUAGGGGGCUUACUUAUGGUACUGUAAUUAGAAGUGUUUUGUAUAAUGAGUGCUUUAUAGUUGUUGCUGAUUACCUGUUGAAGUGACUUCCUGUUAAUUGCAAACAAGAAAAAUAGGGUAAAUGAACCCAGAAUUGAUUCA